AACGCAAAUUGCACUCCCUGGUAUUCCGGGGAGUAUGCCUGUUUGAGGGUCGUUAGAAUAAAAAUCGAGGCGUCGCUCUUUUUUUUGAAGGGUGAUCGCGUCGGAAUUGAGCCGUCUUUCAAAUGUUAAUUCAUGUCAAAGUGGCUUAAAAUUUCAUCCAUCCGGUACGAUUAAAGCGUAUUUAAGAUCAAUUUUGAUUAAGAACGCGCGAUGACGUACCAUCUCAUGUAGUACGUUUGACCUGGCGUCGUCAGGAUCAUUCGUAUACGAUACUCAACUUUUGACCUCAAAUCAGGUAAGAAUACCCGCUGAACUUAA
Molecule: unclassified non-coding RNA, 318 nt
Filed under: uncultured Funneliformis
Lineage: Eukaryota; Fungi; Glomeromycota; Glomeromycetes; Glomerales; Glomeraceae
Description: sequence contains ITS2
Rfam family: 5.8S ribosomal RNA (bases 1-52)
Source: RNAcentral